UGGGGAAUAUUGGACAAUGGGGGAAACCCUGAUCCAGCAAUGCCGCGUGAGUGAUGAAGGCCUUAGGGUUGUAAAGCUCUUUCGGCGGGGACGAUGAUGACGGUACCCGCAGAAGAAGCCCCGGCUAACUUCGUGCCAGCAGCCGCGGUAAUACGAAGGGGGCAAGCGUUGUUCGGAAUUACUGGGCGUAAAGGGCGCGCAGGCGGCCAUCCUAGUCAGGCGUGAAAGCCCCGGGCUUAACCUGGGAAUUGCGUUUGAUACUUGGUGGCUGGAGUUCGGGAGAGGAUGGUGGAAUUCCCAGUGUAGAGGUGAAAUUCGUAGAUAUUGGGAAGAACACCGGUGGCGAAGGCGGCCAUCUGGACCGAAACUGACGCUGAGGCGCGAAAGCGUGGGGAGCAAACAGG
Molecule: ribosomal RNA, 404 nt
Filed under: uncultured bacterium
Lineage: Bacteria
Description: bacterial SSU rRNA
Rfam family: Bacterial small subunit ribosomal RNA
Source: RNAcentral